Hibiscus syriacus is the source of this 305-nucleotide long non-coding RNA. RefSeq lists it as uncharacterized. The transcript has 3 exons. The record is from RefSeq and is a predicted model, not a curated record. Lineage: Eukaryota; Viridiplantae; Streptophyta; Magnoliopsida; Malvales; Malvaceae.
CCAUUCACCGGGACCGAAGCCUGGACAAGAUCGGUCGGAUAUGAGAUAGUGGAUGAAUGGAGGCCAUGGACUUCCAAUGGACAAGUUGCAGGGUAUUUGCAAGGUUAUGACCACAACCUGACCUUUUUAACCAUAAAGGGAGCAGGACACACAGUCCCAGAAUAUAAACCUCAAGAGGCCUUGGAUUUUUACACCAGAUUCCUUGCAGGGAAACCUAUAUGAAACAAAUUUUCUUCUAAUUUUUAAAUUAUAAUUGCAUGUUGAUGAUAGGUUAUUCACAUAAUUUCUAAAAUUGCAUGUUGUUU